AUUGAACGCUGGCGGCAGGCCUAACACAUGCAAGUCGAACGGUAGCACAGUGAGCUUGCUCUCGGGUGACGAGUGGCGGAUGGGUGAGUAAUGUCUGGGACACUGCCCGAUGGAGGGGGAUAAGUAGUGGAAAAGGUUGCUACUACCGCUUCAGAUCGCAAGACCAAAGCGGGGGACAUAAGGUCUUCACAACAUCUGAUGUGUCAGGAUGGGAUUAGCUAGUAGGUGGGGUAAUGGCUCACCUAGGCGCCGAUCCCUAGCUGUUCGGAGAGGAUGACCAGCAACACUGGAAAGGAGACACGGUCAAGCCUCCUACGGUAGGCAGCAGUGGGGAAUAUUGCACAAUGGGCGCAAGCCUGAUGCAGCCAUGCCGCGUGUAUGAAGAAGGCCUUCGGGUUGUAAAGUCCUUUCAGCGGGGAGGAAGGCGGUGAAGUUAAUAACUUCACCGAUUGACGUUACCCGCAGAAGAAGCACCGGCUAACUUCGUGCCAGCCGCCGCAGUAA
RNAcentral lists this ribosomal RNA (504 nucleotides) under uncultured bacterium. RNAcentral's name for it is "partial 16S ribosomal RNA". It matches the Rfam family "Bacterial small subunit ribosomal RNA", at positions 30 to 523 of the family's 1533-position model. The record is from RNAcentral.